RNAcentral lists this long non-coding RNA (418 nucleotides) under Linum usitatissimum (flax). RNAcentral describes it as "long non-coding RNA (LUSI_LNC001498)". The record is from RNAcentral. Lineage: Eukaryota; Viridiplantae; Streptophyta; Magnoliopsida; Malpighiales; Linaceae.
CCUUAAGCGCGUCGUCCAACUCCUCCGCGCUGUGGAUCUUUUGGACCCUCUCGCCGUCAUCCUUCGCCGGCGUCUUCUCCGACGUCCCCGGAGCAGCACCGGCCGUUGCUUUAGUGACGAAUAGAGUUCGUUCUUUUGCGGCGGCGGCGGAUGUAGAGAAUAAGGAGACUCUGGCUUUAGCGGCGGACGAUGUUCUGCUAGUAGAGAUGGCUAGGAAAGGGAAACUGGUGGUGGUGGGUUUGGGUUUAGGGGUUUGUGGGAGUGGAGAGUAGGGGGAUUUGGAGAGAGAGUUAGUGAGUGUAGCCAUUGGAACUUAACUGGAGGAGUCUGAGUUAAGUUUCAGGGGAUUGUUGUGAAUCAGGAUGAGGAUGGAUGGAGGAGUGAGAGAGCUUAGAGGAAUUAUCCAUGGGGAAAAAUC